GGGAGCACUGGUGAUCUGAUGCCUGUAGGAGGGAGACAGAGGGCGCUUCGGAAUUGCCCCAUAUAGGAUUCAAAAGUCUCUGCAUCAGCUAGGUGAACUGAUGAGUUGAGAGGAAUGUGGCGCCAUACUUCUUUGGCAAAGGGGCACUGGAAGAAUAUAUGGGUAGCUGAUUCCUCUUUCUUACAGCGGGGGCAAGCAGCAGCAUUGAUCAUACCUCGACGUUGGAGUUCUGAUCCUAGAGCCAGUCGAAUUCCAGGUUAGGAGGAGGAUUUGAGGUUCUCUGUUGCAGGUGUGUGUGUGCAUUGAGCUGGGUUUUAGAGUUGUAACCCGACUUAGUGGAGUAGACACCAGACUCAAGGGGGAGCCACACGUAAAUAUCCUCUGCACCUUCCUUGCUUGGCUUAAGACACUGGAUCUGCUUUGUAAAGUCUGGUGUUCUUGGAGUAGGUCUCUACCGUGCAAAAUGCUCCUCCAUCCAUGCGAGCAAACUGCUGGGGUCUGUACAUCCAGGAAGCUUUUCUUAUGGCAAUACUUCCCGGUGAGUACUCUAGCUAGAAGGCAGUGUGGUGAUGUUAAUAUUCUCCAAGCUACUUUUGCAAGUAACGCUUGAUUAAACCGUUGGAUAUCUCGCAACCCAAGACCUCCUGCCUUUUUUGGUCGUAGGCUCUGGGGUAGUAUGAAGCAAGACAUUGCAUAGGUUGGGAUAGCUGUAAGGACCGCUUUGAGCAUGGUGAGCUUGCCUGCUCUCGAGAGGAAGCGUGUUGACCAGUUCGCAGCUCUCUGUCGGAUUCUAUCAACUAUCGAGUAUCCGUAGUAAGGCUAGGCAGCUUUCUGAAGUUGAGUUGCAGAAAAUCAUUGUAUCGUCAGCAAAAAGUAGAUGAUUGACUCGGGGGCAGCCUCUAGCAACUCGAACUCCCCGCAUUGAUCCUUCUAACUCCGCUUUUCUGCAAAGGCCUGAGAGGACCUCUCCGCAUAGGAUGAACAAGUACGGCGAGAUCGGAUCUCCUUGCCUGAUUCCACGGAAUAAAAGCGGAUUGGUUCUCUGAGAUUAUGGAGCAAAGUAUGGGUUUCAGGCGCAAGGAUAGGAGCUUAGAGAUGACUUUAUAGUACACAUUGCACAAAGCUAUAGGUCGGUAUUCAUCCACUCUUUUCGCUCCUAAUGUCUUAGGGAUCAGCCUAACAUGAGUCACAUUCAAUGUUGGUGACAAUACGCCCGUGGAGAAGAACUCUUGGAUCUCAGUGAUGAUCGAUUGGCCGAUGGUCUCCCAAUUUGAGUGGAAGAAACUUGCUGAGAACCCGUCAGGCCCGGGAGCCUUAUCUGCGUGGAUUGCAAAGAGUGCUUCUUUUAUUUCAGCCGGUGAUGGGUCUCUGUGAAGAGGUUGUCAUAGUAGGAACAGACUAACGCUGAGAUUUGGUCUUCUUCAUAGACAGCUUGCACCAUUUACAAAUUGCUCUGCGGACUAAGACGAGUCUAGCCUCUACUCCAAGGUAGGAGAGGAUAGGGCGGUGAUCAGAUCCCUCGAAUUUAAGAUAUUGACAGCGGCAGGAGGGGAAGAGCUCCAUCCAUUCUGGGUUGCUCAUAGCUCUGUCGAGGCGACAUCUAACAAGGUGUGCACCUCUUUUACCCCUCCAAGAGAAAGGGUUACCAGAAUGUUUGAGAUCAAACAGGUCAUUUUCAGAUAGGAAUGUUCUGAAGGCUCCAAAGGGUGUUCUCUGACUUCUUGCACCCGGAGAGUGUUAAUUUGGGCAGGUUCAACACUAUAAGGUGGGUCAAAGCCUAGAUCUUCUUCUUCUCUUGGGAUGGGGGUGAAGAUUUGGUCUUGACGUAGUCCCAUAAGAGACCCCUCUCCCGGUGGGCUUAUUGACUUGAUGCCUUGCUCCCAAGGUGAAAGCGGGCGUCUCGGGGUUGUUUCCGAAGCUAGGAUUGAAGCUGCUGUCUUUUCCACUAAGCCUGACGCCUCACUGUUAAGGACCCGUUGUCUCCUAGCUGCAGCUUCAGUAGGAUCUGAACAGCUAAGGCGCUAGGUAGUUCUCUCGGCGGCCUUGGGCUUUUAGCAGUGCAGCUGUGGUCUCUUCUACCUGGCCUCUAUCAUCUCCAAACUUUACUCUCUGCCUUCUGGCUGCUGCCUCUGUGGGGUCUGAGCAGCUCAGGUACAGCAUAGUUGCUUCGUGAAGGUCCUUUUGAAUUUCCUCUUCAGUUUGUUGUCCCUCUGAGCUUUGGUGGUAUUGGAGUUGUAGAGGUUCGGUUCUGGAGUCACGACGCUCCAAAUGAUUUGAGCUAUCUUUUUGUGCUUCAGGGACCGUUACUGUCGUAGGUUUUACUCUCCAUUCUUUGAGUUCCCUUUGUGGGAAAGGGGCCCGCUUGUAGUGUUCUCUUAUUGCAGCUGGUUCUCUUCUUGUUGUGUAGGAAGGAGAUGAGUAGAUCACGGGUUCCGGUUCUUUGAGGUUAGAAUCUUUCCUCCAAGUUUCUGCUAUAUCGCUUUUGGACAUCAUGUUUUUUGUGGGAGGUGGAACUCUUGUUUGUUUUGUAGCGACUCUAGUACCAAAGCUAUUGCCAUGUCUGUCAACUCUAUCUUUGAAAGGCCUAGGGCUUCUGGUUUCUCUGGUCGUAGUCCCCUGCUUUUCUCCCUCACGAUGCAAUGAGGUGUGAUCUUGUUCCAUGUUGCUGUAGAGGAGGGGUCUGGCAUUAGAAAGAUCUCUCUCGCUCAUCUCUCUCACCUUUGUUUCCUGGUGCUGAGUUGUAGCUUGGUUAUCUCCUGUGAAGCUAGGACAAUCUUUCUUGAGAUGGGAGAGGGCAUUGCAGAGGGAGCAGUGGUUCUCUAGGCGCUCGUAUUCCAGAUGAAUUAAGCUUUCCUCUCCAGAGUCAAACUCGACGAUGGAUUUUUUAACCAAUGGUUUAAGUCCAUCGACUAGAACCUGGAUUCUCGCCAAGGUUUUUGUGAGCUCAUGAUUCAUGAGUGUUCCCAGAUCCUUCCCUAUGUCGCGCAGCAUAUCUUCAUGCCAGAAGUGGAGGGGUAGUCCUUUUAUUCGGAUCCAGAACGGGAUCUGCGAGGGGAAAGUCGCUGAGAUGACUGGUUCCCAUCGUUGGAGUAUGACCAUCCAGUACGCAAAGUGGUAGGGUCUGUUUUCCAGAACUCGCUUUAGAUCUUCUUCUCUUUCAAAUCUGAAUUGGAAGCAGCCAUUUCCCAGAUCUGAGCCUGAUACUCUCCCUUGUAGUUGCCAUUUGCGUGGGAGGGCAGGGAUAAGAGCCCAAAUUCUCUGUUCCUGAGGGUUAGUGGUUCUUCCAAUCAGUGUGAGCGCAUUAUCUUUGAUGAGAGCAGAGUUAUCAACGUAGGGCGCCUUGAUUCGUUUGAUAAGAGGUUCAUCUUUCUCUACCAGUUGGUUUUUGCCUUUCUCAUCCCAUGUCAAUCUUCUUGCCAUCUUUACUUUUCAGUAAUCUGGUGAGACGGAAGUCUUGUUCUGCACGGAAGUGGGGAUGUUAGAUACCAGCUUGACGUUUCUUGAGUGUAUUAGAUGCUAGAUGCAAAAGAAAGCCGUAGAUCUGUGGAGUAAAACUUGUUGAGGCAUGAGGUUUGAAAAGAUGAGCUUCGUGGAGGAUGCUACUUGAGGUAAAGAAGUAGGGUUUUCAUCAAAGAGCCAUGAAGAAACCGAUGAGAACUUUCCGGUUUGAGCAAAGAUACGAGUAGUCACUGUCCUGCUUUCAACCGUUGUCUAAAGUCGUCUCUCUUACUUUGGGAAUAGUGCCUGGGAGAGUCCUUUCUCACCGAGG
This is a long non-coding RNA of Brassica rapa (field mustard), 3769 nucleotides long. RefSeq lists it as uncharacterized. The record is from RefSeq and is a predicted model, not a curated record. Lineage: Eukaryota; Viridiplantae; Streptophyta; Magnoliopsida; Brassicales; Brassicaceae.